CUACACACGUGUUACAAUGGGGGGUACAGAGGGCCGCUACCACGCGAGUGGAUGCCAAUCCCUAAAACCCCUCUCAGUUCGGACUGGAGUCUGCAACCCGACUCCACGAAGCUGGAUUCGCUAGUAAUCGCGGAUCAGAAUGCCGCGGUGAAUACGUUCCCGGGCCUUGUACACACCGCCCGUCAAGCCAUGGGAGCCGGGGGCGCCUGAAGUCCGGGACCGCGAGGACCGGCCUAGGGCGAAACUGGUGACUGGGCUAAGUCGUAACAAGGUAAC
Molecule: ribosomal RNA, 276 nt
Filed under: uncultured bacterium
Lineage: Bacteria
Description: partial 16S ribosomal RNA
Rfam family: Bacterial small subunit ribosomal RNA
Source: RNAcentral